This 384-nucleotide ribosomal RNA is filed under the name uncultured bacterium. Its description in RNAcentral is "bacterial SSU rRNA". It matches the Rfam family "Bacterial small subunit ribosomal RNA", at positions 61 to 436 of the family's 1533-position model. The record is from RNAcentral.
GUCGAGGGGAAACGAUGGGAGGGCUUGCCCUCCCAGGCGUCGACCGGCGCACGGGUGAGUAACACGUAUCCAACCUGCCCUCUUCCGGGGAACAACCUUGCGAAAGUAAGACUAAUGCCCCAUGUGUCCUCAGACGGCAUCAGACGAGGACGAAAGAUUUAUCGGAAGUGGAUGGGGAUGCGCCUGAUUAGGCAGUUGGCGGGGCAACGGCCCACCAAGCCGACGAUCAGUAGGGGUUCUGAGAGGAAGGUCCCCCACAUUGGAACUGAGACACGGUCCAAACUCCUACGGGAGGCAGCAGUGAGGAAUAUUGGUCAAUGGGCGAGAGCCUGAACCAGCCAAGUAGCGUGCAGGACGACGGCCCUAUGGGUUGUAAACUGCUUU